This 253-nucleotide ribosomal RNA is filed under the name uncultured bacterium. Its description in RNAcentral is "partial 16S ribosomal RNA". It matches the Rfam family "Bacterial small subunit ribosomal RNA", at positions 524 to 776 of the family's 1533-position model. The record is from RNAcentral.
UACGUAGGGUGCGAGCGUUGUCCGGAAUUAUUGGGCGUAAAGAGCUUGUAGGCGGUUUGUCGCGUCUGCUGUGAAAUCUCAAGGCUCAACCUCGGGCCUGCAGUGGGUACGGGCAGACUAGAGUGCGGUAGGGGAGAUUGGAAUUCCUGGUGUAGCGGUGGAAUGCGCAGAUAUCAGGAGGAACACCGAUGGCGAAGGCAGAUCUCUGGGCCGUAACUGACGCUGAGGAGCGAAAGCGUGGGGAGCGAACAGG